GUGACCGAAGCCGAAGCAGUCGAGGCGCCAGGUUGUGGUCCUGGUCGAAGCCGGUGCGAGUCCGGUCGGUCACCCCA
This 77-nucleotide transfer RNA is filed under the name Lentzea sp. RNAcentral's name for it is "tRNA-His". RNAcentral also lists the same sequence under 11 other names. Lineage: Bacteria; Bacillati; Actinomycetota; Actinomycetes; Pseudonocardiales; Pseudonocardiaceae. The record is from RNAcentral.